GAUGAACGCUAGCUACAGGCUUAACACAUGCAAGUCGAGGGGAAACGAUAUUGGAAGCUUGCUUCCGAUAGGCGUCGACCGGCGCACGGGUGAGUAACGCGUAUCCAACCUGCCCACCACUUGGGGAUAACCUUGCGAAAGUAAGACUAAUACCCAAUGAUAUCCAUAGAAGACAUCUGAAAUGGAUUAAAGAUUUAUCGGUGAUGGAUGGGGAUGCGUCUGAUUAGCUUGUUGGCGGGGUAACGGCCCACCAAGGCGACGAUCAGUAGGGGUUCUGAGAGGAAGGUCCCCCACAUUGGAACUGAGACACGGUCCAAACUCCUACGGGAGGCAGCAGUGAGGAAUAUUGGUCAAUGGGCGAGAGCCUGAACCAGCCAAGUAGCGUGCAGGAUGACGGCCCUAUGGGUUGUAAACUGCUUUUAUAAGGGAAUAAAGUGGGAGUCGUGACUCCUUUUGCAUGUACCUUAUGAAUAAGGACCGGCUAAUUCCGUGCCAGCCGCCGCGGUAA
RNAcentral lists this ribosomal RNA (508 nucleotides) under uncultured bacterium. Its description in RNAcentral is "partial 16S ribosomal RNA". It matches the Rfam family "Bacterial small subunit ribosomal RNA", at positions 28 to 523 of the family's 1533-position model. The record is from RNAcentral.